UACGUAGGGUGCAAGCGUUAAUCGGAAUUACUGGGCGUAAAGCGUGCGCAGGCGGUGAUGUAAGACAGAUGUGAAAUCCCCGGGCUCAACCUGGGAACUGCAUUUGUGACUGCAUCGCUAGAGUACGGCAGAGGGGGGAUGGAAUUCCGCGUGUAGCAGUGAAAUGCGUAGAUAUGCGGAGGAACACCGAUGGCGAAGGCAAUCCCCUGGGCCUGUACUGACGCUCAUGCACGAAAGCGUGGGGAGCAACAGG
This 253-nucleotide ribosomal RNA is filed under the name uncultured bacterium. RNAcentral's name for it is "partial 16S ribosomal RNA". It matches the Rfam family "Bacterial small subunit ribosomal RNA", at positions 524 to 775 of the family's 1533-position model. The record is from RNAcentral.